Molecule: non-coding RNA, 915 nt
Organism: Manis javanica (Malayan pangolin)
Lineage: Eukaryota; Metazoa; Chordata; Mammalia; Pholidota; Manidae
Source: RefSeq, a predicted model, not a curated record
CACAGCAAAUAGAAAUCCCUGUGAACUUCUGCAGUGAUAAAGUUCAAAAUCUGAAUAAAAAGAACCUCUGGGAGGGCAGGAAGAAGGGGAUCAGAGAGCAGGAGAGGAAGCCAGCACAUGAGCAUGGAAAAAGAAGUAAGGAACUCUUUUAAAACAUCUCCAAGAACAGAACGAAAUGGGGCCUGGAAAUGGGGCGUGUGGAUAGCCUCUUCCCCUCAGUCUGGAUUCUAAAAAUGAACCUUCUUUUAAUCGUUAAAAUCCCUUAUUGCAAAUGCAAUUUUGAUGCCAUCGAUGAGAGAUCUGGGAUUACAAUUCCUGACCAUUUCAGCAGACAUUUGGGGAAGGAAAUAGAAGAAUAAUUUUGAGGUCUCUCCAAAAAAUGAAGGAAGAAAAAAGGAUGAGAAGAUAUUCAGUGAAAACGAAAGCUUCCCUCCCAUCCUGACCCCCCAAUUUUGCAGUUCUCCUCUCCAUUGAAAGAAGUCCUGGGUAUCCUCCAAGAGAUCCUGAGACUAUGUUGCAAGGAUUAUCACAAAGUCUGUGGAUUCUCUACAACUGAGCACCCCCAGCUCUCAGAAAAUGGAAAAGCUGCACCUCAGGGCUGAGGAGUAUUCUGGAGGAAUACUGGUCCACAGCUGAGUAAAUGGAGGCAAGAAGUUGCCCAUCACUUUACCUCUGAAUGAGGGCCCCGGGAGAGAGAGGAGGCAUUUUGAGAAUUGAAGAGCUGGAACAGACCUUAAUAAUCAUUCUGAUCAUCAAGGUUUCCUGAACUUCUAACCCUGGGGGCAAAGCAAAGUCGCUGAACUGGCCUGGAGGGUUCAAGUGCUUUGCCUGAAUCUCCUACCUCAAUCAAGAAAAAGUGUCUUUCAAAAUCUCAAGUUCUAGCUUAAAAAUUCAUGAAGCAUUUUACAUUAUAAA